RNAcentral lists this ribosomal RNA (497 nucleotides) under uncultured bacterium. RNAcentral describes it as "partial 16S ribosomal RNA". It matches the Rfam family "Bacterial small subunit ribosomal RNA", at positions 28 to 507 of the family's 1533-position model. The record is from RNAcentral.
GAUGAACGCUGGCGGCGUGCCUAAUACAUGCAAGUCGAGCGAACGGACGAGAAGCUUGCUUUUCUGAUGUUAGCGGCGGACGUGUGAGUAACACGUGGAUAACCUACCUAUAAGACUGGGAUAACUUCGGGAAACCGGAGCUAAUAUCGGAUAAUAUUUUGAACCGCAUGGUUCAAAAGUGAAAGACGGUCUUGCUGUCACUUAUCGAUGGAUCCGCGCUGCAUUAGCUAGUUGGUAAGGUAACGGCUUACCAAGGCAACGAUGCAUAGGCGACCUGAGAGAGUGAUCGGCCACAUUGGAAGUGAGACACGGUCAAGAGUACUGAGGGAGGGAGCAGUAGGGUACGGGACGCAAUAGGCGAAAGCAUGACGGAGUAAGGCGGAGUGUGAGAUGGAGGUGCUCGGAUCGUAAAACUCUCUUACUAGGGGAGAACCUAUGUGUAAGUAACUGUGCACAUCUUGACGGUAACUAAUCAGAAAGCCACGGCUAACUACGUG